Zonotrichia albicollis (white-throated sparrow) is the source of this 2607-nucleotide non-coding RNA. The record is from RefSeq and is a predicted model, not a curated record. NCBI's taxonomy places the organism in Eukaryota, Metazoa, Chordata, Aves, Passeriformes, Passerellidae.
CAAAGCCAGGCAUUUGUAGGGCUUUGGAACCGAGGUCUGUAACCCACGGGAAGCAGCUGCUGAUUUAUUCCAUCAAUCUCACAUUUGAAAGCUAUCAGUUCUCUGGAUGCCUCAGGUAGCUUUGUCAUUUUUCAUUUAGUUCUAAUUUGCAUCCCCAUGUUCUGCCCUGAAUCCUGAGAGGGGGGAAAAAAAGGCAGAAUAAUGAUGAAAUGUGCAUUUUUCAUUUCGCUUUAUUAAGGUUCCUUAUUUUUACUGAAUUCAGGAUUCUUUGGAGGGUGGUCACUGCCUGCAGAUCUCUGCAGGUUUAAUGGCCAGCCCAGGUCAUGAGAGCUAACAAGCUUUAACAAAAAAUAACUACAAAUGCAAAUCCAGAGAGAAAAAUGAUAUUUUCAGUCAAGGUUUCUGCUUGGUGGUUUCAAUCCUGUUUGGAAUUGGAGACUGAAGGGUUUUUAAGUGAACAGUCUGGUGCCACUGGCUCACACAGGUUUGCAGGACAGGCUCAGGACACAUGGAUGUCUGCUGCCAUCAUUAAAUGAGGAGGGAAGCUUUGAAACCCGCCUGAGGUUCUGCAUUGGCUCUGAAUGAAAGGUGUUGUGCGUCUGAAGUGCCCGGCCCAAGGGCUCUCCAGCAAUGCAAACAGCCAGCACACAAAGCCAUUAAAGCUCGAGUGCCUGGCCAUGAUUGCCUGAAGACAGUUUGCAGCUGAGUCCCGCAGGAACCGGCUUUGUCUGAAAAACCACCCGAGGCAGGUGGGGAAAGUCCAGCCAUCCACGACUUGUCCUGCAGCCAAGAGGGUCCAGGUCAGUGCUGGGGAGCAGGACUGUGCUGCCACAGGGAUCUCCACACUGCAGCCCUUGCCCUGCAGCCAAAGCAGGUGAGGGCAGUGCCCUCUGAAGCAGGAGGACACCUCCAUGUGUGCCACUGUCCUUGGAUGAGGGAGGAUGGCAGGAGAAGAGGGCCAAGGCAUCCCUGGAGAAGUCCUGCAAGCUCCCAGCUUGCCAUUUGUGCCAUCCUGGCAUUUCCCUGCUAUCUCCUGGUGCUGAAGGACAGCUCAAACGCCUCGUUAAUCACCGCUGAUGACGGAGCUGUGGCACUCAGGUCCUGCUGGCUGCUGCUUCCCCAGCCAGGGAUGUUUUGCCGAUGCUGCUCCCUGAAAACUCCAGCUGAAAACUGGGGGAAAACUGCCCCCCUCGGAGCUGUAGUUUGUGGAAGAUGUUCCUACUCUGUUCCAGUCUCUCAUUCCUGCUCAUAGGGCACACAGUGAGUUGUGCCCUUGCAAACCUGCAUCUUUUUACAGUACAUUUUUCCCUUCUCUGUGCUUGUCAAGAUCGAGGGCAGCUCCGUGGUGGGCUGAUCUGCUGCUGCAUUGAUCUGGCAAAGGCUGGGGGUGAAAGCCCCACAGCCUCCAGACGAGGCCAUAGAGCUUUCAGGAUGCAGUUUUUCCGAAUCUGUCCAUCACACAGCAAACAAACACCCCCAGCCUGGAGGCAGCUGGCUCGGGGGUGAGCAUCGAUCGCUGGCUGCUGGGUGAGACCCACCAGAACCCCACCGGUGUCAGGAGGCAGCUCCAGCCCUCCCAGCUCCCAAUCACAGGGCUGGGAAGGAAAGCCAGCCUUCUCAGGAAUCAAUCAUUUGACAUCUGCUGUCAGCCUUCUGACACCCAGCCCCGCCGGUGAGGACCCCAGCAGGAAGCCUGGUGGAUCUCAGCUUGUUUUGGUCUUAAUCUGACCUGGUUUUGUGAUAAUGCCAUCAUCCAUCACUGCCUCGGCUUGUGGGGAGGGGAGGUUAAACUCCUCCCUCACGCUCCACCGCUCCCCUGCCACUGCUUUAUCUCUGCAGAAGCUGCAUUCGAGUGCAAUUCACUUUGUUAUUAAUUUCUUUUACUCAGAGGCUUUUCAAGUGCCCGGCAGCGGGGCUGGUGUCAGGAGAGGCUGCACAGCCCGGCAGCUGCAGUGCUGGAGGGGAUUUGAGCAGCCAGCUCCUCCAAGGGCAGCAGGCAGAGAGCUGAGAGCCCGAAUGGUGAAACUGCCCCGUGGAGAUGGCUCUGGACUGCAGCAGUUCUUCCUCAGAGCUGGAUCAGGAUGGGACUGCAUCACCCUGGCACCCAUGGAGAGCUGCUGCACAGGGACAGUCCAGCUCAGCGGCCCGUGGGUGUCCCUUCAGCAGGUGACAUGUCUCGGUGAGCCCACUGCUGUAGGAGGGUCUGCAGUGCUCUCUGGCCCUUUCCCAGCUGCACAGAUCCCCCUGCCUGCAAUCCCCAGGGAAUCCACCCACACAGAGCUGCACUCCCAGCUGCACAAAAGCUGCUGGAGGGCCAGCCUGUGUCCCUCUGUCCCCCCCAGGCCACCCUGCCACGCCUUGCACUGCUCUGGGGACUGGGAGUGCUGGGACCCUUCCCGUGGGUUUGAUGUGCGCUUAAUCUGGUAGUGAAACUAUAUUGCAAAAUGUAAUAAAUGAGAGGUUUAAUCAAACCCAGCCAGCCAGCACUGAUGGAAACUUGGUGGCGGAAGAAAAUAUUGCGUUUGUGUUUGUUUAUCUCCCCCUGUGCUCCUGGGGCCAUGUCCUGACUCUGGUGGAGAGCUCCUCGUGCUUGGUGGCGCUGGGAGG